GGUGAUAUAGCUCAGUUGGUAGAGUGUCUGCCUUGCAUGCACAAGACCCUGAGUUCAAUCCUCAGCAGCACAA
RNAcentral lists this transfer RNA (73 nucleotides) under Marmota marmota marmota (Alpine marmot). It matches the Rfam family "tRNA". Rfam says of the family: Transfer RNA (tRNA) molecules are approximately 80 nucleotides in length. Their secondary structure includes four short double-helical elements and three loops (D, anti-codon, and T loops). Further hydrogen bonds mediate the characteristic L-shaped molecular structure. tRNAs have two regions of fundamental functional importance: the anti-codon, which is responsible for specific mRNA codon recognition, and the 3' end, to which the tRNAs corresponding amino acid is attached (by aminoacyl-tRNA synthetases). tRNAs cope with the degeneracy of the genetic code in two manners: having more than one tRNA (with a specific anti-codon) for a particular amino acid; and 'wobble' base-pairing, i.e. permitting non-standard base-pairing at the 3rd anti-codon position. RNAcentral also lists the same sequence under 1 other name. Lineage: Eukaryota; Metazoa; Chordata; Mammalia; Rodentia; Sciuridae. The record is from Rfam by way of RNAcentral.